GCGGCCGGCUUAACACAUGCAAGUCGAGCGAGAAAGUGGCUCCGGUCAUGAGUACAGCGGCAAACGGGUGAGUAACGCGGGGGAAUGUCCCUUCCAGUCUUGGAUAGCCCCGGGAAACUGGGAUUAAUCCAAGAUCUUAUCCACGGCUGAAAGAUUUAUCGCUAGAAGAUAAGCCCGCGUGAGAUUAGCGAGUUGGUGCGGUAAUGGCUAACCAAGGCAACGAUCUCUAGUUGGUCUGCGAGGAUGAUCAACCACACUGGCACUGAGACACGGUCCAGACUCCUACGGGAGGCAGCAGUGAGGAAUAUUGGACAAUGGGGGAAACCCUGAUCCAGCCAUGCCGCGUGAGUGAUGAAGGCCUUCGGGUUGUAAAACUCUUUAAGUGGGGAAAAUAAUGAUUGUACCCACAGAAUAAGCCACGGCAAACUUCGUGCCAGCCGCCGCCGUAA
This 449-nucleotide ribosomal RNA is filed under the name uncultured bacterium. RNAcentral describes it as "partial 16S ribosomal RNA". It matches the Rfam family "Bacterial small subunit ribosomal RNA", at positions 39 to 523 of the family's 1533-position model. The record is from RNAcentral.